CCAACAGGGAUUGCCUUAGUAACGGCGAGUGAAGCGGCAAUAGCUCAAAUUUGAAAGCUGGCCCCUUCGGGGUCCGCGUUGUAAUUUGUAGAGGAUGAUUCGGCGAGGGCUCCCGUCUAAGUCCCUUGGAACAGGGCGUCAUAGAGGGUGAGAAUCCCGUAUGUGAUGGGCUGCCUUAGCCAUGUGAAUCUCCUUCGACGAGUCGAGUUGUUUGGGAAUGCAGCUCUAAAUGGGAGGUAAAUUUCUUCUAAAGCUAAAUACCGGCCAGAGACCGAUAGCGCACAAGUAGAGUGAUCGAAAGAUGAAAAGCACUUUGGAAAGAGAGUUAAAAAGUACGUGAAAUUGUUGAAAGGGAAGCGCUUGCAGCCAGACUUGUCCGCAGUUGCUCAGCUUGUCUCCUGACAGGCGUACUCUUCUGCGGCCAGGCCAGCAUCAGUUCGGGCGGUCGGAUAAAGACCUAGGGAAUGUAGCUCCUCUCGGGGAGUGUUAUAGCCCUGGGUGCAAUGCGGCCAGCCUGGACUGAGGAUCUCGCUUCGGCUAGGAUGCUGGCGUAAUGGCUGUAAGCGGCCCGUCUUGAAACACGGACC
This 587-nucleotide ribosomal RNA is filed under the name Neofusicoccum kwambonambiense. RNAcentral's name for it is "LSU rRNA". It matches the Rfam family "Eukaryotic large subunit ribosomal RNA", at positions 65 to 667 of the family's 3401-position model. Lineage: Eukaryota; Fungi; Ascomycota; Dothideomycetes; Botryosphaeriales; Botryosphaeriaceae. The record is from RNAcentral.